Molecule: long non-coding RNA, 3839 nt
Organism: Camelus dromedarius (Arabian camel)
Lineage: Eukaryota; Metazoa; Chordata; Mammalia; Artiodactyla; Camelidae
Exons: 5
Source: RefSeq, a predicted model, not a curated record
GCCUAGAGCCACGAGACUUUCUCAGUCAUUAACUUCCGGUCCCUCAAUGAGAAGUCUUCAGUUCAACAAACGUCAUCAAACACCUACUGUGUGCUACUCAGGCUCUGGGGAUGCAAAAUUGAGUGAGACAGUCUGAAAACCAAGGGAUCCUUGAAAUGGACAUGUGAACCAAUGGAGGACAACGAAAAACAAGCUGCUUGAGCACCCAGCGGUGUCCAGAUGCCACAGAAUCACUUUUUGCACCAUCAGAACUGACAUCCAGGAAGCCUGUGCUGAGUACGGUACACACACAGCUGGAACCGAUCCCAUGAUGUGCCACUAGCACCAUCCCGUCUGCAGUUGGUUCCAGCAUAUGUGCACUCAGCUGUAUGUUCAUUUGGAUCAGAAGCAGAGAUCUUGCUUCAGGCGUGGUGUGGUCCAGCUCCUGGGGCGCUGGGUCCUCCUGCAUCCAGUCCUGCCCUGCUCUCCUACCCCUAACCUGGGAAGCUCACAUCUGUUCACUUCAUGUUCCAGAGCCACCGUUUCUAGCUGUAGACACCUGGCUUGCGCAUUUAUUUCACCCCCACGCUUCUGACGCCGGCUGAUAGAUAAUAAUGAUAGAAACCCUGCCGGCUGUAAGUGGAGGGGAGAGAAAAAAACCUUCUGUUAAAGUCAGCCCAUUCGUUCUUGACCGCAUGGACAGGUCCGUAAAUUCAUUUUACACCCAAGGACUCGUCGGUAAGUCUCCUUCCGUCACUUUACUAGUCACACUAGGCGCUGUGAUUUGGAGGGAUAAGAGUGACUUUGACGUCCAAGCCCUCUCACCCACUGGCCUGGCUGGACUUUGAGCCACAGUCAAAGAUUUUCCCAAAGUAACUGAAGACCUUCACAGAUUUGCUGAGGAGUUUCAUGCAGUCAUUCAAAUUUAUCAACAUGGUUUCUCUGACUCACAUCAGCUAGUUCAUAUGCUCGUCGGCGAAGGCCAGGCCCAGCACUGGAUGAAACACGAAAUGGGAAAUCCCAGAAGGUCUCUAGAAUUAGACCAACCCACUAACCUGUUAUAAGAUCAGGCUCGGGUUCCUGGGGCUUUUCCAAAGUCUGUUGAUUGGAACAAGAAUCAGACUUGCACACAAAAAUCUGAUCAAUUUGUUCAUGACUAUUAGGAUCAACUUCAGAUUGUUUCUUCAAAAAAUUCUGGUCUUCAGAUAUCGAUUCCCACCCAGAUAGCUUUUAUCUGUGUUUAUCAGUGGGCUGCGGUGGCACCUUUCUCUCCUAGUAAAAAGGACCAGGAUGGAAAGGGGAACUAUGUCCACUCAGAUUUAGCUAAUGCAGCACAGCAGCUCUCUGGCACCUUGGAGAUGAGUCACCUCCAGGGAAGCCCGCCAGUGUCCUUAACCUUCAACCUCAGCAAGUGGAGGCUCCUAAACAAAAUGAGUCCUCCUCGUUCCUGCUGUUAUUGCAAAGAUCCAGAUCAUUCGGAAGGAAACGGUUACACAUUCAAGCACUUCACCUGCCCCCAGUCAUUCUGACAUCCUCCCAGUUCUCAUUGGUGGAGCUUCAAGGAACCGUGGGGCUCUUCCCAGUCCUCCCUCUUGAGCAGCUUGGAGAAACCCUGCUCCAGAUGGAGGAUGAGUCUCUUCCAGUCGCCAGGGACACCAGACCCACACUCUCAGGGCUCAGCCUCACUACUAUAAACAGCCCCUUCCUAGGAGUGCUGAAGCAGUUCGGGUAGUUGUGUGUGUGUGGGGGGGGUCUCUAAUGAACCUCAAGAGGUUCCUGUCUCUGGACCUAUCCCCUUUUGUUUAGACCCUUUGAGAGACACACAUCCUGUCAACCUCGUUCCUCCAACUCCACCCAUUUAUUGGGAGAGACUUCUGAGAGAAGUAUCAUGCCAGAACUUACAUCUCCCAAAGAUGGAAAUAAUUCUAGGAUUUGACAUUAUCAAAGUAACCAGCCAGGUGAAUUAACUGACCCCUCAACAUCUUUUACUUGUUUCAUCUCUGAUGAUUCUAGAGCUGUUUCUAGAAAAUCUAGGAUCAUGUGUCCCUGUUGAACUAGUUACCACCCUUCUUACGGGCAAAAUCUCCAACUGAUGCUGGCAAAAUUCACAGCACACCUGCCAUCAAAAUUCAAAUAGAUGCCUCAAAAACCUCUUCCCAGAAUCAAUCAAUACCCUCUAAGUAAGAAGUCCUUAAAGGCAUAAAGCCCAAAGUAGAUUACAAAGCUCAAGACCCCACUCUCUUGUACUAGCCUCUGUAACACCCACUAGGGACCAAGGGUGGAGGUUUGUCCAGGGCCUCAGGGCAAGAGGCAAAAGGGAAAAAAAGAACUAGGAAUAACUACAAAAGCAAGAAAACAACAAAGUGGCAUAAGUGCAUAUCUAUCAACAGCACUUUAAAAGAGGUGAGACAGCGCACCCAGGAAAGGACCUUCCUGACACUGAAGGACAGGAAGCUGCUGAAACGAGAAAACCUGAGCCUUGGCCAGUGAUGCUUCCAAAGGAAGUUCACGGUCAAAAGGGAGACAUGUAAACAAUUAAUGAACAGAAACGUCAGUUAAACAGAGCAGGGGGACCAGAAGGGGGGAUCUCACAGCCUGGGACAAGAGCAGAGCGCAGCAGGGAGAAGAAGGCCUCCUCCUGGUUCCUGGGAGAGACUCAACCAGUGCAAAGCCAUGAGCUCUGUUUACUCGAACCCUUCCUCCUUCCUCUCCCCUCUAUGAAAGCAUUCUCCCUCUCUUGUCGUGUGGGGACUCACAUGUGGCUCGCCAGGGUUGCAGACCUCAAACUGCGAUUCUUUGUUGAUCCCAAAUAAACCCAUCUUUGCUGGAGAAAUAUCUGGCAGUCCAUUUGUUUCAGGUCAGGUAAUUGGAAACUUCAUCACUUUAUCAUAAAUUUAAAGAAUGUAAUUUUGUGUUUUAGUGAUUGAUUGAAAAAAAAAUGCCCAACCUAAAAGUUGAGACUUAUGUUUUAUUUGGUGGACAUACUGAGGACUUAACCCUGAAAGACAGGCUCCCAGAUCGCUCUGAGAGACUGUUCUGAAGAGGUAAGGAAGGAGCCAGGACAUACAGGAGUUCUUGCCAAAAAAAAUCAGGUAGUCAGAACAUCAGAAGAUUACUGUUAAAGAAAACCAGAUAUCUCAAAUCAAUGAAUUUAGUGCUUUUCUAUUAAUGGGAAUCAAGAACCUGGGCUUAAUGAAAUCUUUCCUGUGAUGGGCAUCUUAACUAUCUAGGGCCAGUAUCCUGUUUUCUCCAUCCUGCGUCCUCUCAGGGACACCACUGUGGGUGGCUGCAGAGGCAGAUGGCUUGACAGCCUUGACAUCCUCUGUUCUGAUAGGGUAGGCGAAUUUCUUGUCCAUAUGACAAAUGAAGAAUGAGUAGAUGGGAAUUUGGUACAUGACAUGUUUGACUUCAGGGAAGCCUUUUGAUUUCUUCGUUAAACAGUUGAAGAUUUGUAUAAUUGUGAUGUGAAACAUGGGAUUUAAGAAAUAAUAUGGAACACCUCACGAAUUUGCAUGUCACCCUUGGGCAGAGGCCACGCUAAUCUUCUCUGUAUCACUCCAGUUUUAGUAUAUGUGCUGCUGAAGCGAGCACAAAACAUGGGAUUGAAAUUCCAAUGUACUGCAAUUACAUUGUGUUAUAACUUAUGUAUAAAUAUUGUUGUCUUUCAUGAAAUGGUUCUAGCAGGAUUCAGACAGCCAAAAAUAAUAUAAACCUGUGGAAAAUUCUCCAUUAGAAAUUCUGGAGAUGGUUUAACAGUAUAAUAUCUGACACAUUUCCCAAUCAUUUAAAAAAAUAAUUCUAUUUAUUUUUAAAUACUCUGAUUAUAUUUUAUAACGUUCCUAAGUGACUUUAGGCAGUUU